This is a non-coding RNA of Salmo salar (Atlantic salmon), 54 nucleotides long. The record is from Rfam. Lineage: Eukaryota; Metazoa; Chordata; Actinopteri; Salmoniformes; Salmonidae.
UAAUGCACUAACUGUAAGUUACUCUGGAUAAGAGUGUCUGCUAAAUGACUCAAA